UGGGGAAUAUUGGACAAUGGGGGCAACCCUGAUCCAGCCAUGCCGCGUGUGUGAAGAAGCCUUUUGGUUGUAAAGCACUUUAAGCAGGGAGGAGAGGCUAAUGGUUAAUACCCAUCAGAUUAGACGUUACCUGCAGAAUAAGCACCGGCUAACUCUGUGCCAGCAGCCGCGGUAAUACAGAGGGUGCGAGCGUUAAUCGGAAUUACUGGGCGUAAAGCGAGUGUAGGUGGCUCAUUAAGUCAUAUGUGAAAUCCCCGGGCUUAACCUGGGAACUGCAUGUGAUACUGGUGGUGCUAGAAUAUGUGAGAGGGAAGUAGAAUUCCAGGUGUAGCGGUGAAAUGCGUAGAGAUCUGGAGGAAUACCGAUGGCGAAGGCAGCUUCCUGGCAUAAUAUUGACACUGAGAUUCGAAAGCGUGGGUAGCAAACAGGAUUAGAUACCCUGGUAGUCCACGCCGUAAACGAUGUCUACUAGCCGUUGGGGUCCUUGAGACUUUAGUGGCGCAGUUAACGCGAUAAGUAGACCGCCUGGGGAGU
Molecule: ribosomal RNA, 534 nt
Filed under: uncultured bacterium
Lineage: Bacteria
Description: partial 16S ribosomal RNA
Rfam family: Bacterial small subunit ribosomal RNA
Source: RNAcentral